This is a transfer RNA of 67 nucleotides. It matches the Rfam family "tRNA". From Rfam's summary of the family: Transfer RNA (tRNA) molecules are approximately 80 nucleotides in length. Their secondary structure includes four short double-helical elements and three loops (D, anti-codon, and T loops).
GGUAUGGUGUAGUUGGUUAGCACGUCAGAUUGUGGUUCUGAAGAUCAUGGGUUCGAGUCCCAUUAUC